UACGUAGGGGGCAAGCGUUGUCCGGAUUUAUUGGGCGUAAAGAGCGUGUAGGCGGUUAGGUAGGUCCGUUGUGAAAACUCGAGGCUCAACCUCGAGACGCCGAUGGAAACCAUCUGACUAGAGUCCGGAAGAGGAGAGUGGAAUUCCUGGUGUAGCGGUGAAAUGCGUAGAUAUCAGGAGGAACACCGGUGGCGAAGGCGGGUCUCUGGGCGAGUGAACUGACGCUGAGGAGCGAAAGCGUGGGGAGCGAACAGG
RNAcentral lists this ribosomal RNA (255 nucleotides) under uncultured bacterium. Its description in RNAcentral is "partial 16S ribosomal RNA". It matches the Rfam family "Bacterial small subunit ribosomal RNA", at positions 524 to 776 of the family's 1533-position model. The record is from RNAcentral.